GACGAACGCUGGCGGCGUGCUUAACACAUGCCAGUCGAACGGAAAGGCCCUGCUUUUGUGGGGUGCUCGAGUGGCGAACGGGUGAGUAACACGUGAGUAACCUGCCCUUGACUUUGGGAUAACUUCAGGAAACUGGGGCUAAUACCGGAUAGGAGCUCCUGCUGCAUGGUGGGGGUUGGAAAGUUUCGGCGGUUGGGGAUGGACUCGCGGCUUAUCAGCUUGUUGGUGGGGUAGUGGCUUACCAAGGCUUUGACGGGUAGCCGGCCUGAGAGGGUGACCGGCCACAUUGGGACUGAGAUACGGCCCAGACUCCUACGGGAGGCAGCAGUGGGGAAUAUUGCACAAUGGGUGGAAGCCUGAUGCAGCAACGCCGCGUGCGGGAUGACGGCCUUCGGGUUGUAAACCGCUUUCGCCUGUGACGAAGCGUGAGUGACGGUAAUGGGUAAAGAAGCACCGGCUAACUACGUG
This 468-nucleotide ribosomal RNA is filed under the name uncultured bacterium. RNAcentral describes it as "partial 16S ribosomal RNA". It matches the Rfam family "Bacterial small subunit ribosomal RNA", at positions 28 to 507 of the family's 1533-position model. The record is from RNAcentral.